GCCGGUGUGGCUCAGUGGUUGAGCGUCGACCUAUGAAUCAGAAGGUCGUGGGUUCGAUUCCCGUCAGGGCA
RNAcentral lists this transfer RNA (71 nucleotides) under Myotis brandtii (Brandt's bat). It matches the Rfam family "tRNA". Rfam says of the family: Transfer RNA (tRNA) molecules are approximately 80 nucleotides in length. Their secondary structure includes four short double-helical elements and three loops (D, anti-codon, and T loops). Lineage: Eukaryota; Metazoa; Chordata; Mammalia; Chiroptera; Vespertilionidae. The record is from Rfam by way of RNAcentral.